Molecule: ribosomal RNA, 1234 nt
Filed under: metagenome
Description: bacterial LSU rRNA
Rfam family: Bacterial large subunit ribosomal RNA
Source: RNAcentral
UGAAUACGAGACGCUAAGGCGUCGAAGUAGUGUAUAUCAGACUUCCAAGAAAAGCUUGCACUGUCAUAGAUAAAAAAUGCCUGUACCAUAACCGACACAGGUGGGUAGGUAGAGUAUACUAAGGGGCGCGAGAUAACUCUCUCUAAGGAACUCGGCAAAAUAACUCCGUAACUUCGGGAGAAGGAGUGCCUUAUUUAUAAGGUUGCAAUAACAAGAUCCAAGCAACUGUUUAUCAAAAACACAGGUCUCCGCUAAGUCGUAAGACGAUGUAUGGGGGCUGACGCCUGCCCAGUGCCAGAAGGUUAAAGAAGUUGGUUAGCAAUUGCGAAGCUGAUAACUGAAGCCCUGGUGAACGGCGGCCGUAACUAUAACGGUCCUAAGGUAGCGAAAUUCCUUGUCGGGUAAGUUCCGACCCGCACGAAAGGCGUAAUGAUUUGGAUACUGUCUCGGAGAGGGGCUCGGUGAAAUAGACUUGUCUGUGAAGAUGCGGACUACCUGCACCAGGACAGAAAGACCCUAUGAAGCUUUACUGUAACUUGAAAUUGAAAUUGGACUUUAUUCGCGCAGCAUAGGUGGGAGGCGUUGAUUAUAAUCUUGCGGGAUUAUUGGAGCCAUCAGUGAGAUACCACUCUUGUAAUGUUAGAUUUCUAACUUUGAAUCAUUAUCUGGUCAAAGAACAGUUUCAGGCGGGCAGUUUGACUGGGGCGGUCGCCUCCUAAAUGGUAACGGAGGCGUACAAAGGUUUCCUCUGAACGGUUAGAAAUCGUAUCUAGAGUGUAAAGGCAUAAGGAAGCUUGACUGUGAGACCUACAAGUCGAGCAGGGACGAAAGUCGGUCUUAGUGAUCUGACGGUACUGAGUGGAAAGGCCGUCACUCAACGGAUAAAAGUUACUCUAGGAUAACAGGCUGAUCUCCCCCAAGAGUUCACAUCGACGGGGAGGUUUGGCACCUCGAUGUCGGCUCAUCGCAUCCUGGGGCGGUAGUACGUCCCAAGGGUUGGGCUGUUCGCCCACGAAAGCGGUACGCGAGCUGGGUUCAGAACGUCGUGAGACAGUUCGGUCCAUAUCCGGUGUAGGCGUUAGAAUAUUGAGAGGAGCCUUCUUUAGUACGAGAGGACCGAGAAGGACAUACCUCUGGUGUACCAGUUAUCGUGCCAACGGUAAACGCUGGGUAGCUAUGUAUGGAGUGGAUAACCGCUGAAAGCAUCUAAGUGGGAAGCCCACCUCAAGAUAAG